UUGAGGCCGCAGGGACUGAUGACUGACAGCGCACUCGCGUCUGUGGGGGAACAGGCGCCCCCGCCUCCCGGUUGUGCCGUGAACGGUACCGCGCGCGGGCCAUGGUCCGCACUGGACGAGACCGCGUUUGCACCCUGGGCUGCUGCUCCUUCCACGCCUUCUUUCGCACACCUGGAGCUGACCGGGAGCCGCGCUUGGCUGGCAGGUGGCAGCCGGCGUGACUGACAGGGCCGUGUGUCCAGAGCAAGAAGAAGCCAUCGCGGACCAUCUGACGUCUACGGAGGGCCAUCAACAGGGAGCUGGAUCAGAGAUGGAGCAGCCGGGACUCGAACCAGCGUCCAUGUGGGAUGCCAGCACUGCAGACAGCAGCUGUACCUGCUGCACCACAGCACCGGCUCCAGACACAAACAUCCUGACCACAGCCCCAUGCCCACCCUGGACCCUGCUCUCCACUGCAAGAACUCCUGCAUUCCCCAUGCCCCCAGUUUACAACCAGAGGGGUGACGGAGGGUAUGCAUCACGGGUACUGGAACCUCCGCUGGACAGAACGCCACCUCCCAGCCAGGACAUGCGCUGUCCCCAGCAGCUCCAGUUGUGUUUUUCUGAACACAAAUCAGAGCUCUUGGAGCAGCUAAAUACAUUCAGU
Lepus europaeus (European hare) is the source of this 646-nucleotide long non-coding RNA. RefSeq lists it as uncharacterized. The transcript has 3 exons. The record is from RefSeq and is a predicted model, not a curated record. Lineage: Eukaryota; Metazoa; Chordata; Mammalia; Lagomorpha; Leporidae.